Molecule: ribosomal RNA, 255 nt
Filed under: uncultured bacterium
Lineage: Bacteria
Description: partial 16S ribosomal RNA
Rfam family: Bacterial small subunit ribosomal RNA
Source: RNAcentral
UACGGGGGGGAGCAAGCGUUGUUCGGAUUUACUGGGCGUAAAGGGCGCGUAGGCGGUCAGCACAAGUCAGUUGUGAAAUCUCCGGGCUUAACUCGGAAAGGUCAACUGAUACUGUGCGACUAGAGUGCGGAAGGGGCAACUGGAAUUCUCGGUGUAGCGGUGAAAUGCGUAGAUAUCAGGAGGAACACCGGUGGCGAAGGCGGGUCUCUGGGCAGUAACUGACGCUGAGGAGCGAAAGCGUGGGGAGCGAACAGG